Molecule: ribosomal RNA, 264 nt
Filed under: uncultured bacterium
Lineage: Bacteria
Description: partial 16S ribosomal RNA
Rfam family: Bacterial small subunit ribosomal RNA
Source: RNAcentral
GUCCACGCCGUAAACGAUGGACACUAGGCGUCGGGGGAGCGACCCUCCCGGUGCCGUCGCUAACGCAGUAAGUGUCCCGCCUGGGGAGUACGGCCGCAAGGCUGAAACUCAAAGGAAUUGACGGGGGCCCGCACAAGCGGUGGAGCAUGUGGUUUAAUUCGAAGCAACGCGAAGAACCUUACCUGGGCUUGACAUGCACGGGAAAGCCGGUGGAAACAUCGGUCCCUCUUCGGAGUCCGUGCACAGGUGCUGCAUGGCUGUCGU